RNAcentral lists this ribosomal RNA (331 nucleotides) under uncultured Allantion. RNAcentral's name for it is "SSU rRNA". The stretch from base 115 to 331 matches the Rfam family "Eukaryotic small subunit ribosomal RNA", at positions 737 to 955 of the family's 1831-position model. The record is from RNAcentral. Lineage: Eukaryota; Cercozoa; Glissomonadida.
GAUUUCUGACAUGAUGCGCUUGGCCCGCCGGGGUUACCUGUGUGAGUGCCGAGUCGUGUUUGUCAUCCUUCUAGAAAAUGUAUAGUAUGACUCUUCAUUGAUGUUAUAUUGUAUCACAAUCUAGAUCUUUUACUUUGAAAAAAUUAGAGUGUUUAAAGCAGGCGUUUGCUAUGAAUACAUUAGCAUGGAAUAAUAAUUUAGGACUUUGGUUCUAUUUUGUUGGUUUCUAGAACUGAAGUAAUGAUUGAUAGGGAUGGUUGGGGGUGCUCGUAUUCAGUGGCCAGAGGUGAAAUUCUCGGAUUCACUGAAGACGAACUUAUGCGAAAGCAUU